This 497-nucleotide ribosomal RNA is filed under the name uncultured bacterium. Its description in RNAcentral is "partial 16S ribosomal RNA". It matches the Rfam family "Bacterial small subunit ribosomal RNA", at positions 28 to 507 of the family's 1533-position model. The record is from RNAcentral.
GAUGAACGCUGGCGGCGUGCCUAAUACAUGCAAGUCGAGCGAACAGACGAGGAGCUUGCUCCUCUGACGUUAGCGGCGGACGGGUGAGUAACACGUGGAUAACCUACCUAUAAGACUGGGAUAACUUCGGGAAACCGGAGCUAAUACCGGAUAAUAUAUUGAACCGCAUGGUUCAAUAGUGAAAGACGGUUUUGCUGUCACUUAUAGAUGGAUCCGCGCCGCAUUAGCUAGUUGGUAAGGUAACGGCUUACCAAGGCAACGAUGCGUAGCCGACCUGAGAGGGUGAUCGGCCACACUGGAACUGAGACACGGUCCAGACUCCUACGGGAGGCAGCAGUAGGGAAUCUUCCGCAAUGGGCGAAAGCCUGACGGAGCAACACCGCGUGAGUGAUGAAGGUCUUCGGGUCGUAAAACUCUGUUAUUGGGGAAGAACAAAUGUGUAAGUAACUAUGCACGUCUUGACGGUACCUAAUCAGAAAGCCACGGCUAACUACGUG